This 440-nucleotide ribosomal RNA is filed under the name uncultured Barnesiella sp. RNAcentral's name for it is "bacterial SSU rRNA". It matches the Rfam family "Bacterial small subunit ribosomal RNA", at positions 355 to 794 of the family's 1533-position model. The record is from RNAcentral. Lineage: Bacteria; Pseudomonadati; Bacteroidota; Bacteroidia; Bacteroidales; Barnesiellaceae.
UGAGGAAUAUUGGUCAAUGGCCGGAAGGCUGAACCAGCCGUGCCGCGUGAAGGUCAGUGCCCUAUGGGCGUUAAACUUCUUUUGUCAGGGAGCAAUAAGGGUUUCGUGAAAUCCGAUGAGAGUACCUGACGAAAAAGCAUCGGCUAACUCCGUGCCAGCAGCCGCGGUAAUACGGAGGAUGCGAGCGUUAUCCGGAUUUAUUGGGUUUAAAGGGUGCGCAGGCGGCGCGCCAAGUCAGCGGUCAGAGUUCCGGGCUCAACCCGGUGUCGCCGUUGAAACUGGCGUGCUCGAGUGCGUGCGAGGAAGGCGGAAUGCGUUGUGUAGCGGUGAAAUGCAUAGAUAUGACGCAGAACUCCGAUUGCGAAGGCAGCUUUCCAGCGCGCUACUGACGCUGAGGCACGAAAGCGUGGGGAUCGAACAGGAUUAGAUACCCUGGUAGU